RNAcentral lists this long non-coding RNA (7202 nucleotides) under Lactuca sativa (garden lettuce). RNAcentral's name for it is "long non-coding RNA (LSAT_LNC004868)". Lineage: Eukaryota; Viridiplantae; Streptophyta; Magnoliopsida; Asterales; Asteraceae. The record is from RNAcentral.
AUAAGAUAAGCCUUGAAUCCUUAUCAUAGUCGAAUUCUAAGGUCCUUAUCACCUCAAAUUCGUCCAACCUAUCCUUAAGAUAAUCCUUACCUUAUUUUGUAACUAUCACAUAAUUACAAUUCAGCCCCUCUAGUUUAAUUAAUUACAUUUGAUCACAAAAUUAAUUCUUAAUUAAUUAUUGACCAAUAUUAAUUAAACAAAUAUGAUUUCUCCUUUAAUAUAUUAUUCUUAUAACAUAUUAAUAAAUCAUAAUAACCUCUCUCUCUAUUUAUUUCUCCAAUCAAGUUGCUUUGGUGAAGGCAACCCAAAAGGACCAUGCACCAUCGGGUCAAGUACAUACCAAAAUAGUUAUGGACUUAGACACUAAUCCAACAGUCUCCCACUUGGAUAAGUCUAAUAACUAUUCUGCGUAUGACUUCAGAUCCUGAUCUGCAAUCGUAGCUUUCCAAAGCCGCUGUCAACUCUGAUCAUAUCAGAUACGCGUGUCCUUAGAUAAGGGAUCAUAUAUUCCUCCAUUCUAGAUAUCAUAUGAGAUAUGAUUUCAAAUCAUUCUCUUUGUACUAUAUCUCGAUUCCCGAUUUAUGACGACUGACUAAUUGAACAAAUCAAAUUAGCCCUAGCCCGGCCGAGCAUUUACGUUUGUCAUCACUAAAUCAUCGAGGGGCCCAAAGAUAUCGCUUUUAUCCUUCUUUGGAUAAAAGGAACGGAUAAACUUUGAUACAAUGCUUGCUUGUACUCACUCACCGAAUCACACACAACAAUAUGUUUUAUAACACCAAGUUACUAGUGCGUUUACAUAUUAUCAAUGUGCAACCGAUUUGCAAGAUACAACUCACACAUCUCGGUUUCAAGAAUAUAAGAUGUUAUCGUCUCACCAAUCACUCGUGAUACAAUUCAUGGAGUGAUCCAAGUGAGCGUGGGUUUAAUCCAAUGCUCAAAUCAUAUUCAUAAGCACUCAUGAACGUUGCAGCAAACAUUUGCUUAUGUCUAAUACUCUUUUAGACAAUCCACACACCAAUUCACGACAGUCUUCAUUCAUAUCUACUUCCAACAUAUGAACGACUGUGGCCCGUUCGAAUAAUUCGAUUAUUCUUAAUAAACUCAAUUAUUCUGGAAGUCAAAACAUGCAAAUGUGAAACACAAGAAUAAUACUAAUCCCAUAUGGCCUCAAACCUUUGAGUAUAAAUAAAACACCUUUUAUUUAUCACCAUAUUGAUUACUCAUUAUUUGUCGUUUCGGGUAAUCAACUUCUUACUUGAAUUACAACACUUGUCCCAUGCUCCUAGCAUGCACACAAUGUUUACCUAUGGUUCUUACUUUGUGAAAUAGAUCACAUUGAACACAUUUCCAAUCAUUCUCAUUUCACAACUCCAAAUCCUUUUUUCAUAAGUUAAAGAAUAUCAAAUUCUUGCUACUUAUAGAAUAUGCUAGAUUCUAACAUUCUAUGCAACUAUCCUUUCGUAAUGUCACUGCACCAAAGUCACAAAGACUAUUGCCAAUGAUAUUACAAAGUCCUCUAUCGGAGAUUGUUACAAGACAAUUCCAUAGAUGUGAUGUCUCUCACUCAAAGUACAUUCUUUGAACAUCCUUUUGCAUAGAAGUUUCUAAUCUAGUCAUAGAUUUCUCAAUAUUCAAUUCCCAAUAUGGACACACUUCCAUAUGUUCCAUAUGACAACUCAUUCUUAAUAGAAUCUUAUCUAUUCGUAAUGAUGUCGAUAUGGUCCAUCCAAUAUGGAAACAUUUCCAUAUUUUCCAAUACUAUACUUCCAACUACUCACAAGCGACCAAUCCUCGUCGAACUUUGGAUUGUCCUUUGAUAGUUGUUUAAUUAUUUUAGUCAAAACCGAUUCUAGUCCUUUUUCCCUCUAAAUGCGCUAGACAUUUGGAAAAUUUUAGAAUGGUCAAACAUUAAAGCAUUUGCAAUCGAUCCUAUACCCGAAGCGUAUGGGACACGACGCAUAAUGUUUUAUUUGCUAUGUUCUCAAAAUUCGAAUUGUGAAGAGGGAUGCCGUAAUCAUAAUCGAAAUUUUAAGAACACACUAUGUACCUUUGACUAAAUUUAUUAACAUUUCUCAACCUAAUCCUUUAGAUUUGAAAUGAAGCAUAAUAUUCUCUCCCUUAAUUAUAGCAAAACAACUUUUCAACUCUUACAACUUUGCAAAGUAUGACUCUUGUUUUCUAUAAUUAAUAUUGCUAACCUUGCAAUACUUUCCUUAAUAAUCAUACAAUCAUAACAUUUAUGCUCCCACUAUCAUGAUGAUUAUUAUAAAACAUAACACUUAUGCUCCCACUAGCUUCGACAUGUAUUCAUAAACAUCUUAACUUUCAGAAAAAAAAUGCUUAUUGAAUUUCUUAAGUUCAUGUUUCUAAUACUUAGUGCUUUGAUAAUCUUUUAUCAAGGCUUCUUGAACUUAUACACCUUUGCCUUCGAUAGUUCAUAUGUGUGUCUAAACAAUUAAGACUAAUUGCCAAACCUCACAAUUCAAAUUAUGGAAAGGGAUGCCGUAACCAUAAUUGAAUUCGAGAAUGCAAUUUUACAAUCACUAUCUUCUUAAAAUCUUUCUUAGUGAAAGCAUUUCCUCACAAUCAUUUUCAUGAAGGAGGAAAUCUUAUGACACUUAGAUUUAAACGGUGUAUGUGUUCCUAUCCAUGUGAAUUUGUUAAAACCAAAGUUUACGACAAAUUCAAACUCAUAUGGACCGAACUUUCUUAAUCUUGAUUUCUUGCCUUAUGGUAGCACAGCUGCCCACCAUGUCUUCCAAGUAGUUAAGCAGCUCACCCUUUCCUAUCAAUGUACCUUUCAUUGAUUAAGGUGCUUUGCCUUUUAUGCGUUCAAAAUGAGAACUCAUAGAACUCACAUGCAUAAUUAACUCGAUUGGAUUGGCACAGAAUCAAAAUAAUGUCAACACGAUAGGUUGUAAACCUCAACUCGUGUGCUAGUGAUGAUCGAUAAGGUUUAUUUGAUUUGUUCUUGAAACCUUUCAAGACCAUUAAGACUCCCACUGACUCCUUGACAUAUAAGAUUCUCUUGUCAAUAACCAUUUCUUGACAAACAAAUAUUCAAGAGUUAGUGUAGCUUUUAUCAAAACACUUCAUAAAUUGGUCCUAGUUGGUCUUUGUCUUAUCCAAGACAUCACAACUUUCCACAUUUAAUGAAUGUUAUAAACCUUCUUUAUACUUAUCACUCAAUGUCACAAUCUUAACUCUGAGACUUGUUUUGGAACGAAGUAUGAUUGACUUCUUGAUUUAACCAUUUCUUCAAUUCUUGAUUCCUCUUCUUAGACAUACAAUUGUACUAAGACUCACUUAGAGGAUCAAUUGAGAUAUGGUUCUUAAUCAUUAAGACCUAUCAUAAAGCAUAAAAGGUACUCUCCCUUCUUCUUAGAAUGGAGAAACUUUUAUCUUUCUGCCUACUUGAUUCUUCUUAUUCGUUCUGCUAUUGAUUUAAACCUUUUCAAUCAAUUCAGAAUUACACUUAAUCUUAUAAGUAUAAUCAUAUUUACUAAACCUUUAGUAAAUCAUGACGAAUAUCUUUGUUACUCUUAUGGUGGACUUGAUCAACACGCAACUUUGUGUACUCGAUCUCCUAGUCCUUCACUUGACACUUUGUCAAUGAAUUAGUCUAAUUUCCAAAUAUGAAAUUUCUCAUUCAUCGUGCAACCAAGUUGCAUGAUUCCAAGUUUCUGUCCAAUUGAAACUUGGGCGAUGAGAAACUCUCCCUAUUUGGUAAAUUCUCGACUUUCCAUAAAUAACAUAAUAAGAACCAAAUCCAUUAUUGCUAAUAAUAGAAACAUUCAAACAUCAAUUUUUCAUAUACGCCAUUGCAAGGAUAAAUAAAUAAUAUAAAAUCAAAAUUUAUUUUAUUGCGGAAAAAUUUUGUCCUUACAAUGCAAUUCAUUGAAAAACUAUGCUAAUACAUCUUUCUUAGCAAUCUAAUUCUAACUCUAAGUAGUAGCUCAAGAAUCUAAUCUUCGAGAAAUGCGAUCGAAAUCCAUUCCUUCACGGUUAGAUUCUGCUCACUUCUUCCCUUAAGCUUCCUUUCUUUUCUUCGAUCCUACAAAACAUCAAUUGUAAUCUUAUCACAUUAUGUAUUAAGAAUCUAGAAUAGAAGCUUAAAAGAGUUAGUUAAUGGAUUUUACCUAUAUUAGAGCCAUACGUUUCGACUCUCCCAUCUCUUAGAUCUCUUAGGUAAAUGGGGCAGCUUCGUCUCCAAUGCCCCUUCUCUUGGCAAUAAAAGCAAAUCGACUCUUUUGGAACAGGACAUGGAACUACUUCAGACAUCGCCUUUCUCUUAUGAUCAAACCUUUCGAUCAUAGCAUGUCUUUCGUUGCCAUUGUCUAUAUCCAUAGAGGUCUUGAAGGAAGAUUCACCAAUCAAAUUUGCUUUUCCAUUGUGCCAAAACAUUUAUGAUUCAGCAGCAAUAAGCAUAUAGGUGAGAUCUAUAAGGGUCACGUCGCGGUUCAUCAUAUAGUACUCUCUUACGAACUCACUAUAUGAGUUAGGAAGUGACUGAAGAACCCAAUCAACAGCUAUUUCCUCACAGACAACGGAUCCCAACAUUCUUAACCUAUCAAUGUGUGACUUCAUCCCUAGGACGUGUGCACACACCGACUUUCCUUCUUUAUGUUUACUUGCCAAAAGGGCUUGAGUGAUCUUGAACUUUUCAAGCCUUUGAACUUGUGGGUUAGGGAGAAUAAUUGGAGGAGGAGGAGGAAGUGAAGCAUGAUUUCUUGUUCCUCGAUCGAAUCGUGGAAUAUCAUCUUCAUGUGGAAUGCUUGUUCCACGGGAUUUGGGAAGACCAUAGUUGUCGAACUUUGACAUCUACAAAACGGGAGAAAACGAAUUCAAGUUAGUUGAUUGAUUGAGUCCUUAGUAAAUCACCCAAAUGAGAUACUAAGGCUAGGACCCAACACAAUAUUCUACAACUCGGGAGAGGGAUGCCGUAACCCUAAUUGCAGAAUAUUUGAAGGUAAGUGAAUGACGAUUCACUAAUUUCCACCAUGAAAAACGAAAAAGAAAUUUAAGUUUUAAAUCUAUGAAAACUCCUAGAUCCUUUGAGAUUCAUUGAACUUUCAAUGGCAUGUUUAAAUCUCGAUAUGCCCCUCUUGUUUGUGACUGGGAUGCCGAGGAUCACAAAGCGGGUGUGAAUAACCAUGCAAACUUACAUGGUGCCCUCACAUGUUACAGUCACCUAUUCGAUGUGCCGGUAAACCACACACGCUCCACCGAACUAUGACAAACAUUGAGUCACCCUUUGCUACCUUUGCUUAGAACCAUUUAGUGUGCCGGUAAACCACACACGCUCCACUAACGUCUUCGCAAGGGCACAAAGUGUAAUUUCAUGGAAUUGCAUCAAUUCACUUUUGCCUAAGUAACUAAGAUUGGGAAUUUUAUGAAAACAUUUAGUUACUUUAAUAAUUCAUUAUACUUAUAAUGGAAGGUUUCGUCCUAUCCUACCCGUUCGGCUAACGACCCUCCACUAGUCAAGAGUGCGGUGGGUAAGAGUGGAUACCCAUUCAAUCGCCAUUUUAUAGGCAAUUUCCUUAAACACCCCUUAUAGACCAGCUUCGUGAAUGAGGCCUACUAACGGUAAGACUGACUUUUACUCAUACAUAUAUAUAAUGUUAGACUUUUAAUGUUAUAUAUAGUAUAGGGUGUAUUUUAUACUUUUAAAAUACUAGGUGGUCUAAUUUAACAAUUAUACUUUUAAUUCAAUUAAAUUGUAAACCUAAACUUUUAUGGAUUUAUUAAACCUCUUUUAAUUAUACACCUUAAUUAAUUAAUAAAACCAUAAGGGUGUGAUUUGAACUUUUUCAAAACUAUACUAGAGUUUUAGAAUUUAACAUUCCUAAUUAAACUUUUAAUCAACUUUUAAAUUCCAAAACUUGAGGGCAAGUUUUGAAACAUUUCAACACAUUAGGGUUUAGAAUUUAAAUAUGCAUCAAAAUUAAACUAUUUAAUCAAAAUUUAAAUUCCAAAACUUGAGGGCAAGUUUUGAAACCUUUUUCAAAACAUUAGGGUUUCAACUAUUUAAAUUUCAAAACAACAAAACUUUUGGGUUCAAAUUUAAACUAUAAAACCUAAAGGGCAAAAUAUGAAACUUUUCAUAACAACAAGGAUCAAAUAACAAAUAAUUCAAAUUAACAUUUAAUCACAUAAUUAUCCAUAUUUGAUUUAUUUAAUGAUUUCUUGCAAAACAAUUUAUCAAUUUACUCAAAAUAAUUAAUCAAUUAUCUUAUAAGGAAACAAUUAUCUUAUUAAUUGAUAAAUAUCUUCAAUUAGAUUAAAAAUAUAGUCAAAUAUAUCAUAUAAUCGGAUUAAUAUUAAUCUAACAUGAUAAGGUAAUUAUCCCAAUGCAAAAACAGCAAGAAAUCCCGAGAUAAGCACUGUCUGACGCACCGACUCGCCGAGUCACCCUCUGGAACUCGCCGAGUAGGGCUGACUCGCCGAGUCCAAGAGUGACUCGCCGAGUCAGGUCGAACAGUGAGGCCAAAACACGAUUUUCAGUUACAUCAAGCAUCAAUACAAUAGAAACCAAUCAUGUCUCUGAUACCACUGAUGGGUUUUGGUCAUAAGACAUCCUAUGUGCUCAUACAAACCCUAAUGCUUGGAUCUAGGUUUCUCUAUUGUACAUGCUUUGAAUCCAAGACUAUAAACCCUAAUUCUAGCAUAUGGAAAUCGAUAUUAACAUAUAAUUAGGUUUAAGAUAUUACCUUGAUUGUUAUGUAGCAAUAACAAUCCAAUUCCUCCUUGUAUUGACUUUGGAAGGCUUAGAGUCACAAGUGUCACUCCUCCAAUGGCUUACAAACACCAUAAGCAAGUGGAGAAGGUAUAAAGAGAGAGGAGAGAGGUAGAAAUUCGUCCUUAGAUGCUCUAGGGAUCAAGUGCACGAAAUCCUAAGGCCUUAGGGGUCUUUAUAUAGGGUUGGGAUUAGGGUUNCAGUCCUUAUCCUUAUCUAGUUGCUUGCUUACCAAGCAACCCAUAAGAUAAGCCUUGAAUCCUUAUCAUAGUCGAAUUCUAAGGUCCUUAUCACCUCAAAUUCGUCCAACCUAUCCUUAAGAUAAUCCUUACCUUAUUUUGUAAUUAUCACAUAAUUACAAUUCAGCCCCUCCAGUUUAAUUAAUUACAUUUGAUCACAAAAUUAAUUCUUAAUUAAUUAUUGACCAAUAUUAAUUAAACAAAUAUGAUUUCUCCUUUAAUAU